UACGGAGGGUGCAAGCGUUAUCCGGAUUCACUGGGUUUAAAGGGUGCGUAGGUGGAUCGGUAAGUCCGUGGUGAAAUCCCCGAGCUUAACUCGGGAACUGCCGUGGAUACUAUCGAUCUUGAAUACUGUGGAGGUAAGCGGAAUAUGUCAUGUAGCGGUGAAAUGCUUAGAUAUGACAUAGAACACCGAUAGCGAAGGCAGCUUGCUACACAGUUAUUGACACUGAGGCACGAAAGCGUGGGGAGCGAACAGG
Molecule: ribosomal RNA, 253 nt
Filed under: uncultured bacterium
Lineage: Bacteria
Description: partial 16S ribosomal RNA
Rfam family: Bacterial small subunit ribosomal RNA
Source: RNAcentral